This 593-nucleotide ribosomal RNA is filed under the name Exiguobacterium mexicanum. RNAcentral describes it as "bacterial SSU rRNA". It matches the Rfam family "Bacterial small subunit ribosomal RNA", at positions 92 to 672 of the family's 1533-position model. Lineage: Bacteria; Bacillati; Bacillota; Bacilli; Caryophanales. The record is from RNAcentral.
UGAGCGGCGGACGGGUGAGUAACACGUAAAGAACCUGCCCUCAGGUCUGGGAUAACCACGAGAAAUCGGGGCUAAUACCGGAUGGGUCAUCGGACCGCAUGGUCCGAGGAUGAAAGGCGCUUCGGCGUCGCCUGGGGAUGGCUUUGCGGUGCAUUAGCUAGUUGGUGGGGUAAUGGCCCACCAAGGCGACGAUGCAUAGCCGACCUGAGAGGGUGAUCGGCCACACUGGGACUGAGACACGGCCCAGACUCCUACGGGAGGCAGCAUUAGGGAAUCUUCCACAAUGGACGAAAGUCUGAUGGAGCAACGCCGCGUGAACGAUGAAGGCCUUCGGGUCGUAAAGUUCUGUUGUAAGGGAAGAACAAGUGCCGCAGGCAAUGGCGGCACCUUGACGGUACCUUGCGAGAAAGCCACGGCUAACUACGUGCCAGCAGCCGCGGUAAUACGUAGGUGGCAAGCGUUGUCCGGAAUUAUUGGGCGUAAAGCGCGCGCAGGCGGCCUCUUAAGUCUGAUGUGAAAGCCCCCGGCUCAACCGGGGAGGGCCAUUGGAAACUGGGAGGCUUGAGUAUAGUGAGAGAAGAGUGGAAUUCCAC